RNAcentral lists this long non-coding RNA (987 nucleotides) under Homo sapiens (human). RNAcentral describes it as "HSALNT0135220". Lineage: Eukaryota; Metazoa; Chordata; Mammalia; Primates; Hominidae. The record is from RNAcentral.
GUUCUGCAUGUCACAGAGGAAGUAGGCAUAUUUGAGGAAGACUUUCUCAAGGAUUUUUUUCAGAAGUUACACGGAAUAUGUCUGCCUCUCCUGUCUCACCUCCUUCACCUCUUCCACCUCUGCCACCCUGAGACAGCAAGAAAAACUCCACCCUUUUUUCCUCUUCCUGAGCCUAUCAACAUGAGGACAAUGGGAAUGAAGAUUUUAUGAUGAUCCACACCCACUAAGUGAAUAGGUCUCACCACUGCAGCCAUCAUCAAAAGUGGUUAUUACCAAGACUAGAUUGCAGCUCCGGACAGAGCAGCUGGCAGGGACUCAUAUUGUGAAUUGCAGCUCCAGCUCGACUGCAAGAACAAACCAGCAAUCCCGAGAGGACCCACAGACCCUCUAAAGGAAGUGGACUGCUCCUGCAGGACCUGGGAGACACCCCAAAUAUUAUCUAUAAACUCAAUUUUAGGAAGUCAAGUAUCUUCCCGAAAGUCACACAAGUAAAGAUGGACUUGGGUCUCUAAUCCAUUUGUUUGACUUCAAAACAUGUUAUCUCCAUUCCACUACCUCUUCUGUUCAGUGGAAUGAAAGAGGUUAAAACAGUUCACAGGGUCCAUGGAGUGAAUGAAAAAUGAAAAUGGGAAGAUAAAAUACAGAUUAUAGUUUUCAAGGAUUGGAGCUGGAAGGAGUUGCCUGUUUGAGAGCUGUGUUAAGGUCUGAGAAACAUGUGCAUGUUGUGCACUGCAAGAAAGGAAUCAAGAGGAAGGAGAGGAUGGAGAUAUAGAAGAUGAAAAUCAGCCAGAGUAACAAGGCUCCAGGAAAGCCACAUGGCUAUGUGCAUCCCUUAGAGAAACAAAUUGGAAAAAGGAAUUUUGAAUACAAGUAACAGACAGAGAAAAAUGGUACAAAGGGUUAAAAGCAGUCUUAGUAACAUUGGAGAUGUGGAGAGAAAAUUAGAAGAGAGAAGCAGAAAUAAGGAGGCCCUGAGUCACAAGUAAG